Molecule: ribosomal RNA, 824 nt
Filed under: Cambefortantus ranomafanensis
Lineage: Eukaryota; Metazoa; Arthropoda; Insecta; Coleoptera; Scarabaeidae
Description: SSU rRNA
Rfam family: Eukaryotic small subunit ribosomal RNA
Source: RNAcentral
CGAAAAAUAACGAUACGGGACUCAUCCGAGGCCCCGUAAUCGGAAUGAGUACACUCUAAACCCUUUAACGAGGAUCAAUUGGAGGGCAAGUCUGGUGCCAGCAGCCGCGGUAAUUCCAGCUCCAAUAGCGUAUAUUAAAGUUGUUGCGGUUAAAAAGCUCGUAGUCGAAUUUGUGUCCCGCGCCGCCGGUUCAUCGCUCGCGGUGUCAACUGGCGUGUCCGCGGGACGUCCUGCCGGUGGGCUUAGCCCCUGUGGGCGGCCCAAUCUCAAUCCCACCGCGGUGCUCUUCACUGAGUGUCGAGGUGGGCCGGCACGUUUACUUUGAACAAAUUAGAGUGCUUAAAGCAGGCUAAAACAUCGCCUGAAUACUGUGUGCAUGGAAUAAUGGAAUAGGACCUCGGUUCUAUUUUGUUGGUUUUCGGAACCCCGAGGUAAUGAUUAAUAGGAACGGAUGGGGGUAUUCGUAUUGCGACGUUAGAGGUGAAAUUCUUGGAUCGUCGCAAGACGGACAGAAGCGAAAGCAUUUGCCAAAAACGUUUUCAUUGAUCAAGAACGAAAGUUAGAGGUUCGAAGGCGAUCAGAUACCGCCCUAGUUCUAACCAUAAACGAUGCCAGCUAGCGAUCCGCCGACGUUCCUCCGAUGACUCGGCGGGCAGCUUCCGGGAAACCAAAGCUUUUGGGUUCCGGGGGAAGUAUGGUUGCAAAGCUGAAACUUAAAGGAAUUGACGGAAGGGCACCACCAGGAGUGGAGCCUGCGGCUUAAUUUGACUCAACACGGGAAACCUCACCAGGCCCGGACACCGGAAGGAUUGACAGAUUGAGAG